UACAGAGGGUGCAAGCGUUAAUCGGAAUUACUGGGCGUAAAGCGCACGCAGGCGGUCAUGUAAGUCGGGUGUGAAAUCCCCGGGCUCAACCUGGGAACUGCAUUCGAGACUGCAUGGCUAGAGUACGGUAGAGGAGGGCGGAAUUCCAGGUGUAGCGGUGAAAUGCGUAGAUAUCGGGAGGAACAUCAGUGGCGAAGGCGGCCCUCUGGACCAGUACUGACGCUCAGGUGCGAAAGCGUGGGGAGCAAACAGG
RNAcentral lists this ribosomal RNA (253 nucleotides) under uncultured bacterium. RNAcentral describes it as "partial 16S ribosomal RNA". It matches the Rfam family "Bacterial small subunit ribosomal RNA", at positions 524 to 776 of the family's 1533-position model. The record is from RNAcentral.